AGUCGAGGGGUAUGCUUCUUCGGAAGCAGAGACCGGCGCACGGGUGCGUAACGCGUAUGCAAUCUACCUUUUACAGAGGGAUAGCCCAGAGAAAUUUGGAUUAAUACCUCAUAGCAUAGCAGUCUCGCAUGAGAUCACUAUUAAAGUCACAACGGUAAAAGAUGAGCAUGCGUCCCAUUAGCUAGUUGGUAAGGUAACGGCUUACCAAGGCUACGAUGGGUAGGGGUCCUGAGAGGGAGAUCCCCCACACUGGUACUGAGACACGGACCAGACUCCUACGGGAGGCAGCAGUGAGGAAUAUUGGACAAUGGGCGCAAGCCUGAUCCAGCCAUGCCGCGUGCAGGAUGACGGUCCUAUGGAUUGUAAACUGCUUUUAUACGAGAAGAAACACUGCUUCGUGAAGCAGCUUGACGGUAUCGUAAGAAUAAGGAUCGGCUAACUCCGUGCCAGCAGCCGCGGUAAUACGGAGGAUCCAAGCGUUAUCCGGAAUCAUUGGGUUUAAAGGGUCCGUAGGCGGUUUAAUAAGUCAGUGGUGAAAGCCCAUCGCUCAACGGUGGAACGGCCAUUGAUACUGUUAAACUUGAAUUAUUAGGAAGUAACUAGAAUAUGUAGUGUAGCGGUGAAAUGCUUAGAGAUUACAUGGAAUACCAAUUGCGAAGGCAGGUUACUACUAAUGGAUUGACGCUGAUGGACGAAAGCGUGGGUAGCGAACAGGAUUAGAUACCCUGGUAGUCCACGCCGUAAACGAUGGAUACUAGCUGUUG
RNAcentral lists this ribosomal RNA (764 nucleotides) under Flavobacterium sp. CS41. RNAcentral's name for it is "bacterial SSU rRNA". It matches the Rfam family "Bacterial small subunit ribosomal RNA", at positions 60 to 825 of the family's 1533-position model. Lineage: Bacteria; Pseudomonadati; Bacteroidota; Flavobacteriia; Flavobacteriales; Flavobacteriaceae. The record is from RNAcentral.